RNAcentral lists this ribosomal RNA (416 nucleotides) under uncultured bacterium. Its description in RNAcentral is "bacterial SSU rRNA". It matches the Rfam family "Bacterial small subunit ribosomal RNA", at positions 355 to 786 of the family's 1533-position model. The record is from RNAcentral.
UGGGGAAUAUUGGGCAAUGGGCGAAAGCCUGACCCAGCAACGCCGCGUGAAGGAAGAAGGUCUUGGAUUGUAAACUUUUGUCCUAUGGGAAGAAGGAAGUGACGGUACCAUGGGAGGAAGCCCCGGCUAACUACGUGCCAGCAGCCGCGGUAAUACGUAGGGGGCGAGCGUUGUCCGGAAUUACUGGGCGUAAAGGGCGCGCAGGCGGCCGAUCAAGUUAGAUGUGAAAUACCUGGGCUUAACCUGGGAACUGCAUUUAAACUGGUUGGCUAGGAGUGCAGGAGAGGGAAGCGGAAUUCCUAGUGUAGCGGUGAAAUGCGUAGAUAUUAGGAGGAACACCAGUGGCGAAGGCGGCUUUCUGGACUGUAACUGACGCUGAGGCGCGAAAGCGUGGGGAGCGAACAGGAUUAGAUACC